This 132-nucleotide non-coding RNA is filed under the name Arabidopsis thaliana (thale cress). The record is from RNAcentral. Lineage: Eukaryota; Viridiplantae; Streptophyta; Magnoliopsida; Brassicales; Brassicaceae.
AAAAGCCCAAAAAAAUUGGGUUUAGAUCCACACGAAUGUGGAGAGCCUUAACCGGAUGUGUUCAAAGACCCGAAGGUCAAAUCCCGUCUCUGUCAGAGGAGAUGCCAACCAUCUCUCCUUUCUACGAACACA